RNAcentral lists this ribosomal RNA (510 nucleotides) under uncultured bacterium. RNAcentral describes it as "partial 16S ribosomal RNA". It matches the Rfam family "Bacterial small subunit ribosomal RNA", at positions 28 to 507 of the family's 1533-position model. The record is from RNAcentral.
GACGAACGCUGGCGGCGUGCUUAACACAUGCAAGUCGAACGAAGAGCGAUGGAAGCUUGCUUCUAUCAAUCUUAGUGGCGAACGGGUGAGUAACGCGUAAUCAACCUGCCCUUCAGAGGGGGACAACAGUUGGAAACGACUGCUAAUACCGCAUACGAUCUAAUCUCGGCAUCGAGGAUAGAUGAAAGGUGGCCUCUACAUGUAAGCUAUCACUGAAGGAGGGGAUUGCGUCUGAUUAGCUAGUUGGAGGGGUAACGGCCCACCAAGGCGAUGAUCAGUAGCCGGUCUGAGAGGAUGAACGGCCACACUGGGACGGAGACACGGCCCAGACUCCUACGGGAGGCAGCAGUGGGGAAUCUUCCGCAAUGGACGAAAGGCUGACGGAGCAACGCCGCGUGAGUGAUGACGGCCUUCGGGUUGUAAAGCUCUGUUAAUCGGGACGAAAGGCCUUCUUGCGAAUAGGGAGAAGGAUUGACGGUACCGGAAUAGAAAGCCACGGCUAACUACGUG